GGUUCCAUAGUGUAGCGGUUAGCACGUCUGUUUUACACACGCAAAGUCCUAGGUUCACGCCCCGGUGGAGCCA
Molecule: transfer RNA, 73 nt
Filed under: Pteropus alecto (black flying fox)
Lineage: Eukaryota; Metazoa; Chordata; Mammalia; Chiroptera; Pteropodidae
Rfam family: tRNA
About the family: Transfer RNA (tRNA) molecules are approximately 80 nucleotides in length. Their secondary structure includes four short double-helical elements and three loops (D, anti-codon, and T loops).
Source: Rfam by way of RNAcentral